ACCUUUUUCUUUUGCUCAUUUGAUCCACCCUUUCAAAUUUUCUUUGCACAAUUAUUUUUCAUCUUUUCUUUCCACAAAUCUCUUUAUUUUAAGUUUGUAUUCACAAUUUUUAUUUCUUUUUCAAUUUUUUUCUUUCUUUUUCAAUUUUUUUCUUUCUUUUUCAAUCCUUAACAAACUACCAUUUCUUUCUUCUUUCUAACUUGAAUACAAU
RNAcentral lists this long non-coding RNA (211 nucleotides) under Lathyrus oleraceus (garden pea). RNAcentral's name for it is "Pisum sativum (pea) long non-coding RNA (PSAT_LNC000927)". Lineage: Eukaryota; Viridiplantae; Streptophyta; Magnoliopsida; Fabales; Fabaceae. The record is from RNAcentral.